CAGCAGCCGUCAAGAUGAAACUGAACAUAAACUACAUCUCCCAGCAGCCCUUGCUGCCGGGAGCUGUAGUUUACUUUCAGUUUCAUCUUGCAGUGAUCAGCUGAACAGGAUUGAGGGGGCAGAGGUAGGGGGACAAGUUAUCCCAGUCUUUCCCCACCCCCCUCUUCCCCCCAAUGCCAUUAAUCAUGGCAGUGCACUUUAAACUAAGAAGUUACUUGAGGUCCGAAAAGGGGGCGGGGCUAGACGGCACUGUACUACACAGUGCCUUGCUAGUUGCCAGCAGCACGGGAGAAUGGAGGGAAAGUGAGCAGCAGCAUGGCCAAAACAGAUUAAGGACCAGGCAGUCCGAAACGCGUUGGUGAACAAUUAGCAAGUGAAGCACUGACGUCACUCAGCCUGCGCCAGACGGGUGAGGGGACGAAAGAACAAACAAGUAUCGGGAACCAGCCGAAGGGUCGUGAUCCACACGGGAGAGCCGAAGUUUGAGCGUGACUCAAGGUUAGCAGCUUGAAGGAGUCAAUACAAUCCCUACUUAGCGCUGCAAGGAAAGGCUGGAACACAUGAGUGAAAAGGGGAAGACAGAAGAACAGAGAGUGCCAAGACCAGGUCAUAACAUGUAGAGGACAUUAUAACAAGUCAGGAGAAAGGUUAAGGACAAGUAAUGGUCUGGGCUACAGAAUCUGGAAACAGGGCAGAUUAGUAGCCAAACAGAGACUUACACAGGUAAUGAUGGACAAGCACGCAAUGAUCUCAAUACAAGUACACAGUUUUGCAGAUGCGCACUCCUUCUGGAAUAACUCUGGAUAUUUAACCACUGGGAAAUCUUCAAGAGUCACUCAAUCUCAAAAUUAAAUAUAAUAGCUCUUCUCUGGGAUGUUAUCUCCCCACGUCCAAUUUCUUUUUGAGCGCACUGGUAAACAGCAGGAUGCAGAUCUUCUAAUACUUCAUUAAUAGCUGUCCACCAUGCCCAGUGUCAGCUCAGCAGAGUCCGGAGGAUGAUAUCAGCUCCACUUGUGUCAUCAAAAUCAUAUACUGGGACCCAUCAGGCCUCAGGCUAGGUGGGACACGUGAAUACAAAACUGCAUAUAAAAAGAAUGUAUUUAUGCUCAUGUGCUUAGUCAGAUAUGUGGAGCUAUGUUAUUAUACCCAGAUAUACUUAUUCCCAACCAAGUCAAAAUAAACUAUUUUUAACAUUUGUUUAGAUAGGGAGAAACGAAUUCCUCUUUGUUUUCAUUUAUGUAAGAA
Long non-coding RNA from Pseudophryne corroboree (corroboree frog), 1245 nucleotides. RefSeq lists it as uncharacterized. The record is from RefSeq and is a predicted model, not a curated record. NCBI's taxonomy places the organism in Eukaryota, Metazoa, Chordata, Amphibia, Anura, Myobatrachidae. The transcript is spliced from 4 exons.